This is a regulatory RNA element of Lachnospiraceae bacterium 28-4, 161 nucleotides long. Lineage: Bacteria; Bacillati; Bacillota; Clostridia; Lachnospirales; Lachnospiraceae. The record is from Rfam.
UUGCUUACAAUCAGCAAUUUCACUUAUGAAAUGGUCAUAGCACAGGGGAAAAUUGCCAUGGAUGGCAAUUUUAGGAAACAUAGGACAGGAUGUCCGUUGUUUCCGCCCCGUUCGGUUGAUGUUCUUUGCCCAUUUCAUUAGUGAAAUCUGAUGGUAUGCUC